AUUGAACGCUGGCGGCAUGCUUUACACAUGCAAGUCGAACGGCAGCGGGGAGGAGCUUGCUUCUCUGCUGGCGAGUGGCGAACGGGUGAGUAAUACAUCGGAACGUGUCGAGAAGAGGGGGAUAACCACCCGAAAGGGUGGCUAAUACCGCAUAAAUUCUGAGGAAGAAAGCUGGGGGCCUGGGAAUAGGCCUAGCGCUUUUUGAGCGGCCGAUGUCGGAUUAGCUAGUUGGUGAGGUAAAGGCUCACCAAGGCGAAGAUCUGUAGCGGGUCUGAGAGGAUGAUCCGCCACACUGGGACUGAGACACGGCCCAGACUCCUACGGGAGGCAGCAGUGGGGAAUUUUGGACAAUGGGGGCAACCCUGAUCCAGCCAUGCCGCGUGUAUGAAGAAGGCCUUAGGGUUGUAAAGUACUUUUGUUAGGGAAGAAAAGUCAGCUGUGAAUAAUGGCUGAUACUGACGGUACCUAAAGAAUAAGCACCGGCUAACUACGUG
Molecule: ribosomal RNA, 494 nt
Filed under: uncultured bacterium
Lineage: Bacteria
Description: partial 16S ribosomal RNA
Rfam family: Bacterial small subunit ribosomal RNA
Source: RNAcentral